This 523-nucleotide ribosomal RNA is filed under the name Staphylococcus aureus. Its description in RNAcentral is "partial 23S ribosomal RNA". It matches the Rfam family "Bacterial large subunit ribosomal RNA", at positions 557 to 1081 of the family's 2925-position model. Lineage: Bacteria; Bacillati; Bacillota; Bacilli; Caryophanales; Staphylococcaceae. The record is from RNAcentral.
CGUGUGCUUACAAGUAGUCAGAGCCCGUUAAUGGGUGAUGGCGUGCCUUUUGUAGAAUGAACCGGCGAGUUACGAUUUGAUGCAAGGUUAAGCAGUAAAUGUGGAGCCGUAGCGAAAGCGAGUCUGAAUAGGGCGUUUAGUAUUUGGUCGUAGACCCGAAACCAGGUGAUCUACCCUUGGUCAGGUUGAAGUUCAGGUAACACUGAAUGGAGGACCGAACCGACUUACGUUGAAAAGUGAGCGGAUGAACUGAGGGUAGCGGAGAAAUUCCAAUCGAACCUGGAGAUAGCUGGUUCUCUCCGAAAUAGCUUUAGGGCUAGCCUCAAGUGAUGAUUAUUGGAGGUAGAGCACUGUUUGGACGAGGGGCCCCUCUCGGGUUACCGAAUUCAGACAAACUCCGAAUGCCAAUUAAUUUAACUUGGGAGUCAGAACAUGGGUGAUAAGGUCCGUGUUCGAAAGGGAAACAGCCCAGACCACCAGCUAAGGUCCCAAAAUAUAUGUUAAGUGGAAAAGGAUGUGGCGU